Molecule: ribosomal RNA, 327 nt
Filed under: uncultured organism
Description: bacterial SSU rRNA
Rfam family: Bacterial small subunit ribosomal RNA
Source: RNAcentral
AAUUGGACGUGAAAGCUCCUGGCUCAACUAGGAGAGGUCGUUCAAAACUGCCUGGCUAGAGGGCGACAGAGGGAGGUGGAAUUCCCGGUGUAGUGGUGAAAUGCGUAGAUAUCGGGAGGAACACCAGUGGCGAAGGCGGCCUCCUGGGUCGCCCCUGACGCUCAGACGCGAAAGCUAGGGGAGCAAACGGGAUUAGAUACCCCGGUAGUCCUAGCUGUAAACGAUGUGGACUUGGCGUUGGUGGGGUCAAAUCCAUCAGUGCCGGAGCUAACGCGAUAAGUCCACCGCCUGGGGACUACGGUCGCAAGGUUAAAACUCAAAGGAAUU